RNAcentral lists this ribosomal RNA (301 nucleotides) under uncultured bacterium. RNAcentral describes it as "partial 16S ribosomal RNA". It matches the Rfam family "Bacterial small subunit ribosomal RNA", at positions 509 to 808 of the family's 1533-position model. The record is from RNAcentral.
CAGCCGCCGCGGUAAUACGAAGGGUGCAAGCGUUAAUCGGAAUUAUUGGGCGUAAAGCGUGCGUAGGCGGUGAGUUAAGUCUGCUGUGAAAUCCCCGGGCUCAACCUGGGAAUGGCAGUGGAUACUGGCUCGCUAGAGUGUGUCAGAGGAUGGUGGAAUUCCCGGUGUAGCGGUGAAAUGCGUAGAGAUCGGGAGGAACAUCAGUGGCGAAGGCGGCCAUCUGGGACAACACUGACGCUGAGGCACGAAAGCGUGGGGAGCAAACAGGAUUAGAUACCCCCAGUAGUCCCUGUCUCUUAUU